UCUAGAAUGGCAGACCAUUGCAUAGGAUUUAAGCUCCUAAUAGGGAGUUCUUAACUCCUUCUAGAA
Molecule: transfer RNA, 66 nt
Filed under: Lysmata amboinensis (scarlet cleaner shrimp)
Lineage: Eukaryota; Metazoa; Arthropoda; Malacostraca; Decapoda; Hippolytidae
Description: tRNA-Leu
Source: RNAcentral